ACGAACGCUGGCGGCAUGCCUAACACAUGCAAGUCGAACGAGACCUUCGGGUCUAGUGGCGCACGGGUGCGUAACGCGUGGGAAUCUGCCCUCUGGUACGGAAUAACUCAGGGAAACUUGAGCUAAUACCGUAUAAUGACUUCGGUCCAAAGAUUUAUCGCCUGAGGAUGAGCCCGCGUAGGAUUAGCUAGUUGGUGAGGUAAGAGCUCACCAAGGCGACGAUCCUUAGCUGGUCUGAGAGGAUGAUCAGCCACACUGGGACUGAGACACGGCCCAGACUCCUACGGGAGGCAGCAGUGGGGAAUAUUGGACAAUGGGCGCAAGCCUGAUCCAGCCAUGCCGCGUGGAUGAUGAAGGCCUUAGGGUUGUAAAGUCCUUUUAACGGGGAAGAUAAUGACGGUACCCGUAGAAUAAGCCCCGGCUAACUUCGU
RNAcentral lists this ribosomal RNA (431 nucleotides) under uncultured bacterium. RNAcentral describes it as "bacterial SSU rRNA". It matches the Rfam family "Bacterial small subunit ribosomal RNA", at positions 29 to 506 of the family's 1533-position model. The record is from RNAcentral.